RNAcentral lists this long non-coding RNA (3002 nucleotides) under Zea mays. Its description in RNAcentral is "long non-coding RNA (ZMAY_LNC005486)". Lineage: Eukaryota; Viridiplantae; Streptophyta; Magnoliopsida; Poales; Poaceae. The record is from RNAcentral.
UACAUCCCAAUAAAGGACGACCGUACUUGUUCAACUUAUCCCUUUCAACUUGGAUACCGUGAGGCGGACCUUGGAAAGUUUUUGAAUAAGCAGGGGGAAUUCGUAGAUCCUCCAAACGUAGAGCGCGUAAGGCUUUGAAACCAAAUACGUUACCCACAAUGGAAGUAAACAUGUUAGUAACAGAACCCUCUUCAAAUAGGUCUAAUGGAUAAGCUACAUAACAGAUAUAUUGAUCUGGGUCCCCAGGAACGGGCUCGAUGUGAUAGCAUCGUCCUUUGUAACGAUCAAGACUGGUAAGUCCAUCAGUCCAAACAGUUGUCCAUGUACCAGUAGAAGAUUCCGCAGCUACUGUAGCUCCUGCUUCUUCAGGCGGAACCCCGAGCUGAGGAGUUAUUCGGAAUGCUGCCAAGAUAUUCAUAUAUUAGAAAUUAUUAUGUGUACAUCAAAAUAAACACAUUUGUACAACGAGUGAUCUCUUGACAAGAUAAUUAUUUAUUUUUAUUAUUAUAUAUUACAACGAGUGAUCAUAUGUAAGUUUAACGCCCGCACGUCCUCGUUUACCCGUCGGGGAAAGAUUUUUUUUCCGUUUACAUCCUCGUGAGGGAGAACCUUGCACCCCAUCCCCUAAUGGAGGGAUUCCAUGCAAGGAAUCAGGGAUCGGGGUCCAUUGUCAUCUCUAAGUCCACCACAGUUGUGACCAAGAACUUAAAAUAUACUUUUAAACCCGGUAAGUUAUCGAUAAUUAAAUAUAUAUCACUUGUAACUUUAAAAUGAAUAAAAAUUAUAUCAUGAAUUAAAUGGUUUUGGUCUCAAAUAAACUCUAAAAUUUCUAGAAUAAUUAUAUGACCUUCAUUUAGAAUGGUUUUUUAUAUUUGGUGUAUUGCUUCUUAUUUUGUGACCAUAUUUAUUGUAUGUACGCGAGUAGAUUUGGAUUGUUGCACCUGUUCCAAGGGCCUCACUUUUGAGGACUUUGAAACCCUGGAAGAAGGCAGUCCAUGCUCCUAUACCCCAUUAUAUUAAAUGUUCAUUACUGUUUUGGCUAAAUUAUUGCUCCUAGUAGGAUUACUUUAGUGUUUUUACCUUGUCCUUAUUAUACCCGAGAAUUUGUGAACCUUUUUUAGUAGACAAAGGCUAGUGCUCUAUAUUUUUUCAAAAGAGAAAUGUUUUCAAAUGCUUUACGAGAAUUACUUAUGAAAGAUGCUUUUUACCAAACCAUGGGGACAUGACACAUGAGAUAGGAUUGCAUAAGUGUCGCACCCUAAGGACCAGUUUGUCGAGUGACCACCAGUGAUAAACAGUACAAUCACAAGGACUAUUAUGGCUCUGGUCUUGACCAAGUAAUUAGAUGAAAAAUGUUUGGACAUUAGUUAUGGUAGAUAGGGGUGGAGGAAGGCUCCUUAACCCCACUUACGCUUGCAUAGUCCUUAGGUGGGAUGCCCUAGAGGGCCUACAAGUGAGGUUUGUGGUGGAGAGAUAUUACGAGAGAUUACCUUUUAGUAUCUUGUCAUAGUCUAAUACGCACAGGGAUCCUCUGUAUAGAUCUCAUGUGAACCCUGUCACACCUCACCGGAAGCGGUGAAGGGUCUUACAAACCAGGGCAAGUGGGUACCACGCGUUGCGGUUAAAGUUAUACAACCUCUGCACGGUUUCAAUAAACUGAUUAACUAGCCAUGCUCACGGUUAAGAGUGGCCUUUGUGUCCCCAUAGAUUAGAAGUUUGUUUUCCAAAAGCAUAAAACUUCACCAUGAGACUUGGUGAUGUGUCCACUGUGAGAUGUAGCGGAUGGUCCAUGGUGGGAUGCAAUGGAUGUAUUUUCAAAACUUUCGCAAUGAGAUUUGGCGAAUAGUUUAUUGUGCAAUGUAAUGAAUGUGUUUUCAAAACUUUCACCAUGAGACUUAGUGAAUGGUUCAUUGUGAGAUACAAUGAGUGGUCUAUCAAAAGGUUACUUUACUUCAAUGGUUUAUUGUGGGACUUGGUGAACAAUUCAUUGUAGAAUGUAAUGAACAUUGAUGUUAAUGGAUUUUAAUAUAUUUUUAUUCAACAAAGCGUGCUACAAAAAGGGCAUUAGAAUGCCUUUCAAGUACAGUUAAAACAACUAAAGCAAUCACUCAAGCUAGUCCAGUAUGUAGCCACUCCAUUUUUUGCCGCAGUGGGAUAGUUGUUGAGUGCAAAAAUACUGAAUGUUGCCUUCAGUAUUUUGUGUCCACAUGAAGGACAACAGGUGUCCUAGACCUAAGAGUUACAAUAUUAUGACCAGUUUUAGGCCUAACCAGUCGGCUGUGGAGAGUCUAUUGGUGCAUUGGCAUACAAUAUCAUGGUUAUGUAAUAAAUAUUGUGUUACCAUAUUAAUAAAGCAUUGUGUUUUGAUAUAAUCCACUGUAUGACAUUGCUAUAUACAUGUGAUUCACAAUCCAAUGCAUGUACAGUGGACAUUCGGUUUUGUCUUUAAAACCGGGCGCGACAAAACAACAUUUUAAAGUGGUGCCAUUAGUUCUGUUUCUUUCCUCAUUUUGACUCAUAGUGGUGUUUUUUUGCUCCACUAAAGAUCAUAAGGAUAAAUUUAAGCAAAAAACGUGACUAAAAGUAAAAAUAAGAACAAUAACUAAAGGUAUGAUUUUAGAUAGACCUAUUUUAAAUAGGACUGGAAGUCCAGUGGGCCUAGAAUUAUGGGCUUUAUUUUGCUUAUAGAUCACAAACUAGGUCCUUGUACAGCAUAAACCGAGGUCCAUGUCCACCCCCGUCCAGCACGUUUUUGCUGGUUGGAGGCCACGUAGCCUCGAUGAUGAGAUGAGCCUGUUUGGUGCGGUAGUAGGUCUGCCACCAGUCUGUUGUGCUGGCAAUGUACCACCAGUAGCAUCAAGUAUUUCAUUGUACAGAUCGACUGACGGCGAGUGGGCAGGCACAUGCAGAUGCAGCCCACGGUUUUGAACUGGUGGCGGGACAUGUAACCUUAUGUUUGUCGAGUUUCAUCGUAUCCAUCAUUGACAAAAGAGCAGCGAAAA